RNAcentral lists this ribosomal RNA (429 nucleotides) under Bacteroidota bacterium. RNAcentral describes it as "Bacteroidetes bacterium partial 16S ribosomal RNA". It matches the Rfam family "Bacterial small subunit ribosomal RNA", at positions 355 to 776 of the family's 1533-position model. The record is from RNAcentral. Lineage: Bacteria; Pseudomonadati; Bacteroidota.
UAGGGAAUCUUCCGCAAUGGACGCAAGUCUGACGGAGCAACGCCGCGUGAGUGAAGAAGGAUUUCGGUUCGUAAAACUCUGUUGUUAGAGAAGAACAGCGCAUAGAGUAACUGUUAUGCGUGUGACGGUAUCUAACCAGAAAGCCACGGCUAACUACGUGCCAGCAGCCGCGGUAAUACGUAGGUGGCAAGCGUUGUCCGGAUUUAUUGGGCGUAAAGCGAGCGCAGGCGGUCAAUUAAGUCUGAUGUGAAAGCCCCCGGCUCAACCGGGGAGGGUCAUUGGAAACUGUUUAACUUGAGUGCAGAAGGGGAGGGUGGAAUUCCAUGUGUAGCGGUGAAAUGCGUAGAUAUAUGGAGGAACACCGGUGGCGAAAGCGGCUCUCUGGUCUGUAACUGACGCUGAGGCUCGAAAGCGUGGGGAGCGAACAGG